RNAcentral lists this ribosomal RNA (761 nucleotides) under Prevotella melaninogenica. RNAcentral's name for it is "bacterial SSU rRNA". It matches the Rfam family "Bacterial small subunit ribosomal RNA", at positions 28 to 776 of the family's 1533-position model. The record is from RNAcentral. Lineage: Bacteria; Pseudomonadati; Bacteroidota; Bacteroidia; Bacteroidales; Prevotellaceae.
GAUGAACGCUAGCUACAGGCUUAACACAUGCAAGUCGAGGGGAAACGGCAUUUAGUGCUUGCACUGAAUGGACGUCGACCGGCGCACGGAUGAGUAACGCGUAUCCAACCUACCCAUUACUGUGGGAUAACCUGCCGAAAGGCAGACUAAUACCGCAUGGUCUUCGAUGACGGCAUCAGAUUUGAAGUAAAGAUUUAUCGGUAAUGGAUGGGGAUGCGUCUGAUUAGCUUGUUGGCGGGGUAACGGCCCACCAAGGCAACGAUCAGUAGGGGUUCUGAGAGGAAGGUCCCCCACAUUGGAACUGAGACACGGUCCAAACUCCUACGGGAGGCAGCAGUGAGGAAUAUUGGUCAAUGGACGAGAGUCUGAACCAGCCAAGUAGCGUGCAGGAUGACGGCCCUAUGGGUUGUAAACUGCUUUUGUAUGGGGAUAAAGUCAAUCACGUGUGAUUGUUUGCAGGUACCAUACGAAUAAGGACCGGCUAAUUCCGUGCCAGCAGCCGCGGUAAUACGGAAGGUUCGGGCGUUAUCCGGAUUUAUUGGGUUUAAAGGGAGCGUAGGCCGGAGAUUAAGUGUGUUGUGAAAUGUAGACGCUCAACGUCUGACUUGCAGCGCAUACUGGUUUCCUUGAGUACGCACAACGUUGGCGGAAUUCGUCGUGUAGCGGUGAAAUGCUUAGAUAUGACGAAGAACUCCGAUUGCGAAGGCAGCUGACGGGAGCGCAACUGACGCUUAAGCUCGAAGGUGCGGGUAUCGAACAGG